Molecule: ribosomal RNA, 492 nt
Filed under: uncultured bacterium
Lineage: Bacteria
Description: partial 16S ribosomal RNA
Rfam family: Bacterial small subunit ribosomal RNA
Source: RNAcentral
AGUGAACGCUGGCGGUAGGCCUAACACAUGCAAGUCGAACGGCAGCACAGUAAGAGCUUGCUCUUACGGGUGGCGAGUGGCGGACGGGUGAGGAAUACAUCGGAAUCUACUUUUUCGUGGGGGAUAACGUAGGGAAACUUACGCUAAUACCGCAUACGACCUACUGGUGAAAGCAGGGGAUCUUCGGACCUUGCGCGAUUGAAUGAGCCGAUGUCGGAUUAGCUAGUUGGCGGGGUAAAGGCCCACCAAGGCGACGAUCCGUAGCUGGUCUGAGAGGAUGAUCAGCCACACUGGAACUGAGACACGGUCCAGACUCCUACGGGAGGCAGCAGUGGGGAAUAUUGGACAAUGGGCGCAAGCCUGAUCCAGCCAUACCGCGUGGGUGAAGAAGGACUUCGGGUUGUAAAGCCAUUUUGUUGGGAAAGAAAAGCAGCAGGUUAAUACCCCGCUGUUCUGACGGUACCCAAAGAAUAAGCACCGGCUAACUUCGUG